UGACAGUCCCCCAGCCCCACUUUGCUGC
RNAcentral lists this non-coding RNA (28 nucleotides) under Homo sapiens (human). The record is from RNAcentral. Lineage: Eukaryota; Metazoa; Chordata; Mammalia; Primates; Hominidae.